This 335-nucleotide unclassified non-coding RNA is filed under the name uncultured fungus. Its description in RNAcentral is "sequence contains ITS2". Lineage: Eukaryota; Fungi. The record is from RNAcentral.
AACGCACAUUGCACUCUCUGGUAUUCCGGAGAGUAUGCUUGUUUGAGUAUCUGUAAACAUCUCAAAUCUCUCAGCGCUUGCGUUCGAGAGGAUUGGAUUUGAGCGAUCCCGACUCCUUCAUUAGAAAGAGGAGGGUCGCUUGAAAUGCAGAUGCAGCAGGACAUUCUUCUGAGCUAAAAGCAUAUUUAUUUAGUCCCGUCAAACGGAUUAUUACUUUUGCUUCAGCUAACAUAAAGGUCGAAUGCGCCACUAUCGCUGAUUGCAGGAAAACAAUGUCUGUAACAGGACUUUGUAAACUCGAUCUCAAAUCAAGUAAGACUACCCGCUGAACUUAA